GUCUGUUGUUAUUUAUGUAUUAUUGUCAUUUUGUUUAUUUUCUUUGGUUACAUCUUCUGACAUCAGACUCGGAUUUCUCUUCAACUGAAUUUUAAUGUGCGUAUUGUUAUGCGUUUACUUUACUACAUUGGUUAGAGGUAUAGGGGGAGGGUUGAGAUCUCACAAACAUGUUUAACCCCGCCGCAUUUUUGCGCCUGUCCCAAGUCAGA
This 209-nucleotide long non-coding RNA is filed under the name Mytilus galloprovincialis (Mediterranean mussel). The record is from RNAcentral. Lineage: Eukaryota; Metazoa; Mollusca; Bivalvia; Mytilida; Mytilidae.